This 2014-nucleotide unclassified non-coding RNA is filed under the name Nageia fleuryi. RNAcentral describes it as "partial contains small subunit ribosomal RNA, internal transcribed spacer 1, 5.8S ribosomal RNA, internal transcribed spacer 2, and large subunit ribosomal RNA". The stretch from base 1646 to 1799 matches the Rfam family "5.8S ribosomal RNA". The record is from RNAcentral. Lineage: Eukaryota; Viridiplantae; Streptophyta; Pinopsida; Araucariales; Podocarpaceae.
GACCUGCGGUAGGAUCAUUGGCAGCGUCGGCUUGUAUGUAGGGGGAGAGAGGGGACAACUCGGGUCCCGCUUUGCGCCGUUCCGUGCGCAGGGAAAUUCCCCCCUGCGUGGCGUGCGGUUGCGAGCGGUCCCGAAACGGAUGAUCCCCCCCGACCCUCGUGACCUUCGUGGUGGGACGUCCAUUCGUUGGGCGGGGCAAGGUCUUCCCGGAUUCGUGGGCGCUGCUUCUUGCCGGCGUGGGGAGCGUCCCGGUCCCGUUAGAAAGGGGCGGCCUUGCUGCGCAGACCUGCCACGAAGGUAGGGGGAGCUUCUCGCCUCACCGCGGUGCAGCUACAUCCCUCCCCGCGACGGGCCGUUGGUCUGACGGAUCGAUUCUGAACGAUGGCUGGCGCCUUCCCUUGCACCGUCGUCCGAGGAUAGACCGUCCGAUCCCCGACCCGUCGCCUGGGGGGGAACAAGUGAUGCGCGGUGGAGUGCGGGUAGCCAAAAGCAUGUUGCGGCCCAGAUGAUCGUAUCGCGGGCGACGGUUCGGGCUCCUCGGGGCUAGAACGGCGAACGCGAUGCGGGACGACUCUCGGCUGCGCUUGCUUUUCUCAACUCGACGCGACCCCGAAUCUAUAGAACCCUCGCUUGGAGGAACCGUUGUUCGACGGAUAGCGGAAAGGCGUGAGCCCCGCCUUGGUCCCAAGGUGACGGUGAUGCAAGGGGUCCCUUCCGCCGGGCCGUGUUCCUCUCGAUCGGUAUCUUAGAUUCGAUGCGUUUGUCGCCUUUGUCGAGGGAGCGGGUCGUUCGACGUCCUUCGUCGCUAGGACCCUCCGAUCGUGCGGUGCAAUAAGGUUGAAUGGUGGGAUCGAUCGCGGGUGCUCCAACCCCGCCCCGCGUUUCGAUCCCGCAAUGCAUCCGAAAGACCGCCGUAGAGGGUGCCCGGCCGGCGAGAAGUCGUGCGAUCAACUCCUUAAGCUGUUCGUGGCCCCGUGCUUGAGCUCUCUUCUGUGACCCUUGUCCGUUGCAUCGAAGGUCGACGAUCUUCGAUCCCCGGGCAUGGCUGUUCGUCGAGCGCCCUCGAGCACGGGGAGAUGGGCAGCCUCAACGCCGCUUCGAGACGUUCGUCCGAUCGCGACGCAGGUCGCGAAGGCUUGGUCCUUUUUGUGGGGGGAGCGUUCGCGACGUCCCGUCGCGGGCCGGGGUGCCCUGCAGAGAGGUUCCGAGGCCCUUCGCGUCUUGCAUCGUGGACCACGUCGAGAAGUGGCGGGGACCUCCCACCGACCCCUACGACGUUCUCGAGGCCCGCGGGUCAGGUGCUGCCGGUCCUGCGCGAUCGUGCAUCCCUGCCCCUACGGGCUCUCCGGAGCACCAGGGGACCGGUGGAACCAUGGGGUCCAAGGGCCUCCCCUCCGACCCCUACGACGUUCUCGAGGCCCGCGGGUCAGGUGCUGCCGGUCCUUCGCGAUCGUGCAUCCCUGACCCUACGGGCUCUCCGGAGCACCAGGGGACCGGGGGAACCGUGGGGUCCGAUUCCCCUCCCCCAACGCGUUCGCGUUGGGUUCUUUCAAAAACGCGGUCGGGGCGGACGUGGGAGGCGUGCUUGUCGCACUCGGUGCGGCACGCUCGUCGUCCCCCGGACGACCGAUCGCCAACCAAACACGACUCUCGGCAACGGAUAUCUCGGCUCUCGCCACGAUGAAGAACGUAGCGAAAUGCGAUACUUGGUGUGAAUUGCAGAAUCCCGUGAAUCAUCGAGUCUUUGAACGCAAGUUGCGCCCGAGGCCCCGGCCGAGGGCACGUCUGCCUGGGCGACGCACUUUCGCCUGACGCCUCCCCUCGAAACGUGCGGGGGAAGAGCGGACAUGGUCGUCCGGACCCUUCGAGGUGCGGUCGGCUGAAAUACGCGCGCUGGGCCGUCGCCCGCGGCCCGACCGGCGGUGGCUCCGUUAGGGGUCGGCGUUUGUCGGGAUCGCGGAUCGUGCGGCUCCGCGCGAUCGAACUUUGCAUGCCUUUCGCGUCCCCAGGUCAG